RNAcentral lists this ribosomal RNA (253 nucleotides) under uncultured bacterium. RNAcentral's name for it is "partial 16S ribosomal RNA". It matches the Rfam family "Bacterial small subunit ribosomal RNA", at positions 524 to 776 of the family's 1533-position model. The record is from RNAcentral.
UACGGGGGGGGCAAGCGUUGUUCGGAAUUACUGGGCGUAGAGGGCUCGUAGGCGGCCAACUAAGUCGGAUGUGAAAUCCCCAGGCUUAACCUGGGAACUGCAUCCGAUACUGGAUGGCUUGAAUCCGGGAGAGGGAUGCAGAAUUCCAGGUGUAGCGGUGAAAUGCGUAGAUAUCUGGAGGAAUACCGGUGGCGAAGGCGGCAUCCUGGACCGGCAUUGACGCUGAUGAGCGAAAGCUAGGGGAGCAAACGGG